GACGAACGCUGGCGGCGUGCCUAAUACAUGCAAGUUGAGCGAUGAAGAUUGGUGCUUGCACCAAUUUGAAGAGCAGCGAACGGGUGAGUAACGCGUGGGGAAUCUGCCUUUGAGCGGGGGACAACAUUUGGAAACGAAUGCUAAUACCGCAUAACAACUUUAAACAUAAGUUUUAAGUUUGAAAGAUGCAAUUGCAUCACUCAAAGAUGAUCCCGCGUUGUAUUAGCUAGUUGUUGAGGUAAAGGCUCACCAAGGCGAUGAUACAUAGCCGACCUGAGAGGGUGAUCGGCCACAUUGGGACUGAGACACGGCCCAAACUCCUACGGGAGGCAGCAGUAGGGAAUCUUCGGCAAUAGACGAAAGUCUGACCGAGCAACGCCGCGUGAGUGAAGAAGGUUUUCGGAUCGUAAAACUCUGUUGGUAGAGAAGAACGUUGGUGAGAGUGGAAAGCUCAUCAAGUGACGGUAACUACCCAGAAAGGGACGGCUAACUACGUG
RNAcentral lists this ribosomal RNA (497 nucleotides) under uncultured bacterium. RNAcentral describes it as "partial 16S ribosomal RNA". It matches the Rfam family "Bacterial small subunit ribosomal RNA", at positions 28 to 507 of the family's 1533-position model. The record is from RNAcentral.